RNAcentral lists this ribosomal RNA (498 nucleotides) under uncultured bacterium. RNAcentral describes it as "bacterial SSU rRNA". It matches the Rfam family "Bacterial small subunit ribosomal RNA", at positions 30 to 524 of the family's 1533-position model. The record is from RNAcentral.
AUUGAACGCUGGCGGAAUGCUUUACACAUGCAAGUCGAACGGCAGCACGGGGCAACCUGGUGGCGAGUGGCGAACGGGUGAGUAAUAUAUCGGAACGUGCCCAAUCGUGGGGGAUAACGUAGCGAAAGUUACGCUAAUACCGCAUACGAUCUACGGAUGAAAGCGGGGGAUCGCAAGACCUCGCGCGAAUGGAGCGGCCGAUAUCAGAUUAGGUAGUUGGUGGGGUAAAGGCUCACCAAGCCAACGAUCUGUAGCUGGUCUGAGAGGACGACCAGCCACACUGGAACUGAGACACGGUCCAGACUCCUACGGGAGGCAGCAGUGGGGAAUUUUGGACAAUGGGCGCAAGCCUGAUCCAGCCAUUCCGCGUGCAGGAUGAAGGCCUUCGGGUUGUAAACUGCUUUGUACGGUAACGAAACGGUCUGCCUAAUACGGCAGGCUAAUGACGGUACCGUAAGAAUAAGACACCGGCUAACUACGUGCCAGCAGCCGCGUAAU